This is a long non-coding RNA of Engraulis encrasicolus (European anchovy), 539 nucleotides long. RefSeq lists it as uncharacterized. Lineage: Eukaryota; Metazoa; Chordata; Actinopteri; Clupeiformes; Engraulidae. The record is from RefSeq and is a predicted model, not a curated record. The transcript is spliced from 2 exons.
UACUAUCAGCCCUGCAUUAGUAUAAAAUGGCUCUUGCAGUGUUUUAGGAAGGAACCCUUCAUAUCCUUUCCAAUGACAAUAACAAGGUUUGUCUUUGAAACUGGCUAACCCUCACCAUCUUGACCAAAUGAAAAAUAAGAGGGACACUCUGUUCACACAUUGUCUUUUGUACUUGCAGAGACUUCUUACAGAUGGCUGCCCUCUGGAAUGAAAAUGCACACCAACCACCGGCAAACAUCAAAAGCUAAUCCAACAUUUGGUCUUCGGAAACCCUGUGACUAAUGCAAUGUUGGUGCCCUAGAAGACAAGUCAGCGCAGUUCAGACGAGCCAGCCAGAGGAGGUCACCGCCAGCCUUGUAUCGAGGUUCCAACGUCCUUCAUCGGGGAACUCGGCAUGGAUAUGCAAGACAACACUCGAAUCACUGUUGGACAAAUGCCUGAAACGGCUGGAAAAAUAGAAAAGAUGGUUACAGAGACUGUUAUUGCUGUUCUUCUUUCAAUACAAUAUUUGCCUUCCAUAAAAUAUUCCCAUGUUCCAA